This 213-nucleotide non-coding RNA is filed under the name Heyndrickxia ginsengihumi. RNAcentral describes it as "Bacillus ginsengihumi T-box sequence". It matches the Rfam family "T-box leader". From Rfam's summary of the family: Uncharged tRNA acts as the effector for transcription antitermination of genes in the T-box leader family. T-boxes are found upstream of many aminoacyl-tRNA synthetase genes and some amino acid biosynthetic genes usually in Gram-positive bacteria. The record is from RNAcentral. Lineage: Bacteria; Bacillati; Bacillota; Bacilli; Caryophanales; Bacillaceae.
AAUUAAGCAUUGAAAGGACUAGUAGUCUCCUAUCCCUGUUUAUGAAGAGAGCCGGUGGUUGGUGCAAAUCGGCACAAAUAGGAAUGACGAAUUACACCCUGGAGCUUUUGCUGUGAACUAAUAGUAGCAGUAAACGGAUUAAACCGUUAUAUAAAUGAGUGGAGAAGAAAUUCUCAAGUUGGGUGGUACCGCGAUGAAACAAUCGUCCCUUCG